UACAGAGGUCCCAAGCGUUGUUCGGAUUCACUGGGCGUAAAGGGUGCGUAGGUGGUCGGGUAAGUCUGAUGUGAAAUCUCUGGGCUCAACCCAGAAAUGGCAUUGGAUACUAUUCGGCUAGAGGAGUGGAGGGGGGACUGGAAUACUUGGUGUAGCAGUGAAAUGCGUAGAUAUCAAGUGGAACACCAGUGGCGAAGGCGAGUCUCUGGACAUUUCCUGACGCUGAGGCACGAAAGCCAGGGGAGCAAACGGG
This 253-nucleotide ribosomal RNA is filed under the name uncultured bacterium. Its description in RNAcentral is "partial 16S ribosomal RNA". It matches the Rfam family "Bacterial small subunit ribosomal RNA", at positions 524 to 776 of the family's 1533-position model. The record is from RNAcentral.